This 321-nucleotide long non-coding RNA is filed under the name Hordeum vulgare. Its description in RNAcentral is "long non-coding RNA (HVUL_LNC010578)". Lineage: Eukaryota; Viridiplantae; Streptophyta; Magnoliopsida; Poales; Poaceae. The record is from RNAcentral.
GUUUGUUCUUCAACAUUCGAAGCAGGCUCUUCUCCAUCUCAUAACUCGCCUCCAGGCAACUUGCAAAGCCAGAGCAAAGUUCUUUGAAUUCGAGAUUCUCAUAUUGGGAGAGCUUAGCCUUGUAAAGUUCAUGCUCAAGAACAGGUUGAGGUGAUGAUGAUACAUGCUUCGAUAAAACCGCUGUGGCGAGUACCGGUGAUAACUACAGCGUCCGGGUCUUCUGCUGUUGUCAAUGGACUUGGCGGGUUAGGUGUUUCCAUGGUUUCCUUGGGAGAGCUAGGGAGAUCCACUUGAUCUUCAUGUUUGUCUUGGUCCGGGUUA